ACAGCUCACAUGCAUUUUGCAUCCUAUUUAUAGAUUUAUUGAUAAUACUAUUCCAUCAGCAUGCCAGAAUGGUAGAUAGAUACAGCUGAAUAUAAUUUGAGCAAAUAUUAGAUGCUUUUAAAACUAAGAUUUGCAUCCUUCUUCUGUCUCAUUGUGUAAUUUGUCAUCCAGGGCAACAGAGCUUUCCAAUAAUGGGAUAUCUCAUAUUUCUUCAAAGAAAGAGAAUGGCAAUAUUUGUCACUUACAUGAUCACCAACAGUUCAUGCGCCAGAGGAAAACAUUUAUUUUGCUGAAUACAUAAUCCAAAAUUUGGAUGAAAUUGGACAUGCUACUUCAGCAAAAAAUACAGAAGUAACCAUCACUUGCUACAAACACUUUCUAAGAAUCAAGAAUGAUUUGGACACCCAUCCUUUAGCCACCUGCCUGCUAUUUUUCGUGGUCACCUCCCAUAAGUCAUGAAUAUGUUAUUUAGUGUCUGUAUUACACUGAUAGCAGCCACAUCUUCAUCCACCUUGUGAUGGCCGGUUUGUACCUCUGUCAUUUUGGGAUAACACCCUGUGAUUUGCUGAUGCAACUGUGACUGUGCUGAAAGCUGGAUUGUUUCAGAAUGAGAUGGACAGCACCCCAAUCUCCAUUAACCAGAUGAUGAGAUCUCCACUGCUUCAAGAGGCAGCUUUGCAUGACAGUUGCAGACAAUUGUUUAAGGCAGCCAGAUAGUAUUUGGCAUUUUGCUGCCCAAAGGACGGGGCAGUGAAACAAAACCAUGCGUAUACAAAUUCUAACAACCUCAUGAGGUUGGCACAUACCUGACUCUGGAAGCCACUCUAAUAUACUCCUAUACCUGGUAAUGUCUCUUUCAGGCAAUCUUUAACUUUACAGAUCAACUUAUUAUUUUUUUUGCAGCUGCUACAGGAUAACAUCAUUCUGCCUUACUUGUCCUGGCAAUACAUUUCCUUACCCUUCUUUAUGCUAACACCAGGACUUAUGGCAUAAUUCACCAAAUCCAAGAUUUGAUCCAAAUGUAAUUAAUAAGUUGUUAUUUGUCCUGGAUCAGGGUUUUUUUGUUUGUUUGUUUAUUUGUUUUUUGGCUGCAGAAAGAGGUAGACAGCAAUAGGAAGGGGAAGUGCCCUUUCCAAUGGCAGUACAGGCUGCAACUAGGCUAAAUGAGUUAUGAAAA
This is a long non-coding RNA of Lagopus muta (rock ptarmigan), 1177 nucleotides long. RefSeq lists it as uncharacterized. The record is from RefSeq and is a predicted model, not a curated record. The transcript is spliced from 4 exons. NCBI's taxonomy places the organism in Eukaryota, Metazoa, Chordata, Aves, Galliformes, Phasianidae.